GGUACCAUUGCUAGAUGGUCACUUCGAUUAGUAUAGGAAUUGGUUCCUGUGCUACCGGCUUAGAUUCGAACCUGCGGGGUCACACACAUUAGAGGUUCCUAUCUGAUCUGAUGGCUGAUGUAGAAUCCUACAUGUUUGGAACUUAGUGAUCGAGAAUCAAGAUUCUUUGAUCAUGAGUUCCACAUAUUAUGGGUACCGGGGUCAAGAGUCCCACUGGUUGGGACUUUUCGAUCAGGGUUACAUAUCGAUGAAUUCUGAUGCCUGAUUGCCCAUC
RNAcentral lists this long non-coding RNA (274 nucleotides) under Elaeis guineensis (African oil palm). RNAcentral's name for it is "long non-coding RNA (EGUI_LNC047397)". The record is from RNAcentral. Lineage: Eukaryota; Viridiplantae; Streptophyta; Magnoliopsida; Arecales; Arecaceae.